AGAGGGUGCAAGCGUUAAUCGGAAUUACUGGGCGUAAAGCGUACGUAGGUGGGUAUUUAAGUCGGAUGUGAAAGCCCUGGGCUCAACCUGGGAAUUGCAUUCGAUACUGGGUACCUAGAGUAUGGUAGAGGAAAGUGGAAUUCCCGGUGUAGCGGUGAAAUGCGUAGAUAUCGGGAGGAACAUCAGUGGCGAAGGCGGCUUUCUGGACCAAUACUGACACUGAGGUACGAAAGCGUGGGGAGCAAACAGGAUUAGAGACCCUGGUAGUCCACGCUGUAAACGAUGAGAACUAGAUGUUGGGGGGGCGUGACCCCCCUUAGUAUCGAAGCUAACGCGUUAAGUUCUCCGCCUGGGGAGUACGGCCGCAAGGUUA
This 373-nucleotide ribosomal RNA is filed under the name uncultured organism. Its description in RNAcentral is "partial 16S ribosomal RNA". It matches the Rfam family "Bacterial small subunit ribosomal RNA", at positions 527 to 896 of the family's 1533-position model. The record is from RNAcentral.